AAAAUUAUUUCAUACUGUUUCCAGAUCCUAAAGUGUGACGAAGUCUUGGAAAAUUGUUGUCCAUUCAUAAAUUAAAAGACCAUGACGGUACAGAAAAUCCCCAAAAGUCUCGUCUUCCUCGGAGUUAUCAUCUUUUGUUUGGCCCUCUGCCACGCUCAACCGCACCAGUGCGGCAAGAAAUGUUCGGGCGGAAUAAGUGCUUGCCAAAAGUGCUGUCGGGAUGCGCAUUACUCGAACGGUGGGUACUGUCACACCGGUUAUGCGGCCAUUACAUGCAACUGCCUCGGAGUGAAGAUAACCACACGACGACCAACACCAACAACGCGACGAUACUACGGUUAACAUUUUUCUGAUGAAUAUGUGUGUAAUUUGCAUGGAACUAUCUAAAUAAAUAAAAUUAUCACAAGAAAAAGUUAAUUUCUGUAAAAUUCCGGGACAAACAUAAAUAAAUUUUCAUAGCCAUUUCCUUUGUCAUGCUAAAUCCCAGUAUGAAAUAAAAUGAACAAUUAGUGAAUAAUGAAUAAUGAAUAAAUAUGUAACUUUUUCAAGUGUUGAA
Folsomia candida is the source of this 556-nucleotide long non-coding RNA. RefSeq lists it as uncharacterized. The record is from RefSeq and is a predicted model, not a curated record. Lineage: Eukaryota; Metazoa; Arthropoda; Collembola; Entomobryomorpha; Isotomidae. The transcript is spliced from 2 exons.